ACCUCAAGUCAUGUGAGAGUACCCGCUGAACUUAAGCAUAUCAAUAAGCGGAGGAAAAGAAACUAACAAGGAUUCCCCUAGUAACGGCGAGUGAAGCGGGAAGAGCACAAAUUUUAAAUCUACCUGGUUUUCAGGUUGAGUUGUAAUUUGAGGAUACGUUUUUGAUAUUCCUGGUUGGACUAAAUCCUUUGGGAUAAGGUAUCAUAGAGGGUGAGAAUCCUGUGUAUACCAACCACAGGGAUGUUAUUUAAUAACGUUUCUAAGAGUCGAGUUGUUUGGGAAUGCAGCUCUAAAUGGGUGGUAAAUUUCACCUAAUGCUAAAUAUAAGCGAGAGACCGAUAGCGAACAAGUACAGUGAUGGAAAGAUGAAAAGAACUUUGAAAAGAGAGUUAAAUAGUACGUGAAAUUGUUGAAAGGGAAACGAUUGAAGUCAGUCAUGCCAGCGGGAAUCAACUUAGAGGAAACUCUAGGUGCACUUCUUUGCUUGGCAGGUUAGUGUCGAUUUUGGAUGUCAUAAAAUGACUGGGGGAAGGUAGCUCCUUUGGGAGUGUUAUAGCCCUUGGUAGAUGUGAUGUCUGGGAUCGAGGAUUGCAAUGGAUACCCUUUGGGGCUAGCUGCCUGAUCUCUAAUUGGUAUUGGGUUACGGAUAGCAUGCUGACCGUGAUCUAAUUAUUGGUUAAAAGGUUAGAGCGUGCAUAAAUUCAUUAAGGACGUUGACGUAAUGGCUUUAAACGACCCGUCUUGAAACACGGACCAAGGAGUCUAACAUAUAUGCGAGUGUUA
Molecule: ribosomal RNA, 783 nt
Filed under: Gigaspora rosea
Lineage: Eukaryota; Fungi; Glomeromycota; Glomeromycetes; Diversisporales; Gigasporaceae
Description: eukaryotic LSU rRNA
Rfam family: Eukaryotic large subunit ribosomal RNA
Source: RNAcentral